CGAACCGUCCAAACGUUAUUCGGAUUUAUUGGGCUUAAAGGGUAUGUAGGCGGCCCUUCAAGUCGGGUGUGAAAGCCCUCGGCUCAACCGAGGAACUGCGCCCGAUACUGCAGGGCUUGAGGGAGACAGAGGUAAGCGGAACUGAUGGUGGAGCGGUGAAAUGCGUUGAUAUCAUCAGGAACACCAGUGGCGAAAGCGGCUUACUGGGUCUCUUCUGACGCUGAGAUACGAAAGCUAGGGGAGCGAACGGGAUUAGAUACCCCGGUAGUCCUAGCUGUAAACGAUGAGCACUUGAUCGUGGGGCCCCCCAUAGCCUCUCGGUCGCAGCGAAAGUGGUAAGUGCUCCGCCUGGGGAGUAUGGUCGCAAGGCUG
Molecule: ribosomal RNA, 372 nt
Filed under: uncultured organism
Description: bacterial SSU rRNA
Rfam family: Bacterial small subunit ribosomal RNA
Source: RNAcentral